RNAcentral lists this ribosomal RNA (494 nucleotides) under uncultured bacterium. RNAcentral describes it as "bacterial SSU rRNA". It matches the Rfam family "Bacterial small subunit ribosomal RNA", at positions 903 to 1397 of the family's 1533-position model. The record is from RNAcentral.
AAAUGAAUUGACGGGGACCCGCACAAGCGGUGGAGCAUGUGGUUUAAUUCGAAGCAACGCGAAGAACCUUACCUGGUCUUGACAUCCUCCUGAUGUCCGAGUAACGUCGGAGUUCCUACGGGACAGGAGAGACAGGUGGUGCAUGGUUGUCGUCAGCUCGUGUCGUGAGAUGUUGGGUUAAGUCCCGCAACGAGCGCAACCCUUAUCUUUAGUAGCCAGCAGUUCGGCUGGGCACUCUAGAGAGACUGCCAGGGAUAACCUGGAGGAAGGUGGGGAUGACGUCAAAUCAUCAUGCCCCUUAUGACCAGGGCUACACACGUGCUACAAUGGCGUAAACAAAGGGAAGCGAAACUGUGAAGUGAAGCAAAUCCCAAAAAUAACGUCUCAGUUCGGAUUGUAGUCUGCAACUCGACUACAUGAAGCUGGAAUCGCUAGUAAUCGCGAAUCAGAAUGUCGCGGUGAAUACGUUCCCGGGUCUUGUACACACCGCCCGU